UGGGGAAUAUUGGACAAUGGGCGCAAGCCUGAUCCAGCCAUGCCGCGUGAGUGACGAAGGCCUUAGGGUUGUAAAGCUCUUUUGGCGGGGAAGAUAAUGACGGUACCCGCAGAAUAAGCUCCGGCUAACUUCGUGCCAGCAGCCGCGGUAAUACGAAGGGAGCUAGCGUUGUUCGGAAUCACUGGGCGUAAAGCGCACGUAGGCGGACUUUCAAGUCAGGGGUGAAAUCCCGGGGCUCAACCACGGAACUGCCUUUGAUACUGUUGGUCUCGAGUCCGGAAGAGGUGAGUGGAAUUCCUAGUGUAGAGGUGAAAUUCGUAGAUAUUAGGAAGAACACCGGUGGCGAAGGCGGCUCACUGGUCCGGUACUGACGCUGAGGUGCGAAAGCGUGGGGAGCAAACA
RNAcentral lists this ribosomal RNA (402 nucleotides) under uncultured bacterium. RNAcentral's name for it is "bacterial SSU rRNA". It matches the Rfam family "Bacterial small subunit ribosomal RNA", at positions 355 to 774 of the family's 1533-position model. The record is from RNAcentral.